GACGAACGCUGGCGGCGUGCUUAACACAUGCAAGUCGAACGGAAAGGCCCUGCUUUUGUGGGGUGCUCGAGUGGCGAACGGGUGAGUAACACGUGAGUAACCUGCCCUUGACUUUGGGAUAACUUCAGGAAACUGGGGCUAAUACCGGAUAGGAGCUCCUGCUGCAUGGUGGGGGUUGGAAAGUUUCGGCGGUUGGGGAUGGACUGGCGGCUUAUCAGCUUGUUGGUGGGGUAGUGGCUUACCAAGGCUUUGACGGGUAGCCGGACUGAGUGGGUGACCGGCGACAUUGGGACUGAGAUGCGGCACAGACGGCUACGGGAGGCAGCAGGGGGGAAUAUUGCACAAUGGGCGGAAGGCUGAUGCAGCAACGCCGCGUGCGGGAUGACGGCCUUCGGGUUGUAAACCGCUUGCGCCUGUGACGAAGCGUGAGUGACGGUAAUGGGUAAAGAAGCACCGGCUAACUACGUG
This 468-nucleotide ribosomal RNA is filed under the name uncultured bacterium. Its description in RNAcentral is "partial 16S ribosomal RNA". It matches the Rfam family "Bacterial small subunit ribosomal RNA", at positions 28 to 507 of the family's 1533-position model. The record is from RNAcentral.